Molecule: ribosomal RNA, 472 nt
Filed under: uncultured bacterium
Lineage: Bacteria
Description: bacterial SSU rRNA
Rfam family: Bacterial small subunit ribosomal RNA
Source: RNAcentral
GAUGAACGCUGGCGGCGUGCCUAAUGCAUGCAAGUCGAGCGACGCAUGCCGGAGGGGUAACCCACUGGUAUGACGGAGCGGCGAACGGGUGAGUAACACGUGAGCAACCUGCCCCACAGACCGGGAUAGCCCAGGGAAACCUGGAUUAAUACCGGAUGCCCUCGAAGGACCGCAUGGUCUAUCGAGGAAAUGCCUUUGUGCUGUGGGAUGGGCUCGCGACUUAUCAGUUAGUUGGUGGGGUAACGGCCUACCAAGACAAUGACGAGUAGCUGGUCUGAGAGGACGAUCAGCCACACUGGAACUGAGACACGGUCCAGACUCCUACGGGAGGCAGCAGCAGGGAAUCUUGCGCAAUGGGCGAAAGCCUGACGCAGCGACACCGCGUGGGGGAUGAAGGCCUUCGGGUUGUAAACCCCUUUCAGGAGGGAAGAAAUUGACGGUACCUCCACAAGAAGCACCGGCCAACUACGUG